UGGGGAAUAUUGGGCAAUGGGCGCAAGCCUGACCCAGCAACGCCGCGUGAAGGAAGAAGGCUUUCGGGUUGUAAACUUCUUUUAAGGGGAAGGAGCAGAGACGGUACCCUGCAAUAAGCCACGGCUAACUACGUGCCAGCAGCCGCGGUAAUACGUAGGUGGCAAGCGUUGUCCGGAUUUACUGGGUGUAAAGGGCGUGCAGCCGGAGAGGCAAGUCAGAUGUGAAAUCCGCGGGCUCAACCCGCGAACUGCAUUUGAAACUGCUUCCCUUGAGUAUCGGAGAGGUAACCGGAAUUCCUAGUGUAGCGGUGAAAUGCGUAGAUAUUGCGCAGAACUCCGAUUGCGAAGGCAGCGUACUGGCGCCUGACUGACGCUGAGGCACGAAAGCGUGGGGAUCGAACAGGAUUAGAUACCC
RNAcentral lists this ribosomal RNA (415 nucleotides) under uncultured bacterium. RNAcentral's name for it is "bacterial SSU rRNA". It matches the Rfam family "Bacterial small subunit ribosomal RNA", at positions 355 to 787 of the family's 1533-position model. The record is from RNAcentral.